CAGCCGCCGCGGUAAUACGUAGGGUGCAAGCGUUAAUCGGAAUUACUGGGCGUAAAGCGUGCGCAGGCGGUUUCGUAAGACAGAUGUGAAAUCCCCGGGCUUAACCUGGGAACUGCAUUUGUGACUGCGAGGCUAGAGUGUGUCAGAGGGGGGUGGAAUUCCACGUGUAGCAGUGAAAUGCGUAGAUAUGUGGAGGAACACCGAUGGCGAAGGCAGCCCCCUGGGAUAACACUGACGCUCAUGCACGAAAGCGUGGGGAGCAAACAGGAUUAGAUACCCCCGUAGUCCCUGUCUCUUAUAC
This 301-nucleotide ribosomal RNA is filed under the name uncultured bacterium. RNAcentral's name for it is "partial 16S ribosomal RNA". It matches the Rfam family "Bacterial small subunit ribosomal RNA", at positions 509 to 807 of the family's 1533-position model. The record is from RNAcentral.